AGACCCCUAACCCUAUCUCUCUCUUCCCUUCCCUUUCUCGUGAAACCCUAGAGCGCCGCACCUCAAUUUUCUUCUCUCUCUCUCUUGCCAAAAAUGGCAACCGCACAGAGGUCUCAGGCCUUUCGUAAACCUUGUACAACCAAUAACGUGAAACAAUUAAUGUUUCAACAUCAUUUUCACUCAAACUCGUCUAAACACAGUGGUAAUCACAUUUUCUUUUACUUUUCCCAUUUGUUUUCUGAAUCAAAACACGAUUUUUACAUUUUUUGUGGUUAUAUUGUGACUGUACGAGCUCGAUUCUUAUUGGUUCAUAAGGGUUUGGUUCGGAUCGACCUAGAAUGGGUCAGAUCCGACCGUAUAUGUGUGUUUUCUAUAGAUCCUAGUCAUUAAAUUCAUAGAUGAAGGUUUUUGCAUCUGAAAUCUACUUUGUACCACAUCGUUUUUUAAAUAUUUAAACUCGAGAUUUAGGCUUACAGUAAAAUUUUAAAGACUUAGCCCUUUUUUAGGGUUCGAAUCUUCCUUAGUUCUAAAAUAUUUGUGUUUUUCUUUCCUUUCUGUGUGGCUUGAGUUGGAGAUUUGGAAGCACGAAGGCUCCAAAAUCCAUUCUUGACAAAGUUUUGCCCAAAAAAGGUAACACUCUCUCUCGUUGUUAUUUUUUAGUUAGUUUUCGCUUCAAUGUAGUCUUUUAUUGUUAAAUGCCCAGUUUAGAUUUAGUUUAUAUCUGUUUGUCCUAGAAUUUUGUUUGAAACUUUGUUUGUUGUUCAUAAUUGUGGUCCUGGUAUAUGUUUGAGUUCAUUGAAGAUUAAAAUGACCUAUCCUGGAUAGUGUACUUGAAUUGAUCCUUGCCUAGUUGCCUAAAUGAUCAAUAUAGCAUUGUGUGACUGUUUAAGUAUCGAUUUGGUUUAUAUGUUGUGCUGAUAAGACUGCCUUGAACCUAGAUGACUCUGUGAAAUUCUAAGAAAUGCUAACUGAAUCAUUAGUUGAUUAUCUACCCUCUUAAUGUGAUAACACUUAUUUGUGAGGCUUAAUGACUUACGUAAUCUCUAGUGAUGUUAUUUGACCCUGUUUGAAUCCUGAAUGCACCUGCAACUUGAUCAUAGGACCCUGAUGGUUUAAUAUAGAUAAAACUGGGACACCUCAUGUGAAUUGACUUAGAAUCAUUGAUACAAGUACACUGACUUGAGGACCCUAGGCUUAUUUUGAUUUAAACCUGCUUGUUCUUUCACUAGAAUGAUUGUGUAGGUCCUAAUUAGGAUAAGUAAAGAGUCAUGAUUGGUCUAAACAGGACUUAAUGAGUCUAAGCAUGCUUAUUCAAUUCUUAAAAUGUGAUUAAGGUGUUAGAAUGUAAUUAAAUGAGACCUGAUUGCUUCUAAAUGUGUGCAAGUCACCCGAGUGCACCUAAGUCUGCUAAACUCUUUUGAAAUGGUAUAAGGGUGGCCUUGAUGUAAUCUAACUAGUGUACAAUAAGACUGAAACCGUACAAGGUUCUAAUUAGACUAUGUGAGUUUAAAACAGAUGUAAAGUGAUUCUCAUUUUAAACUGACUAUGGCUAACCUAAAAUGACAUUUUAUCUGCUGAGUGUCCAUGAGUCGAGGGGUAAUGCGCAAUUGCUAUAAAAGAAUGGGUGAACUUUAGAGGGACUUGUCUGGUUUCUGAGGUAUGCAUAGUGUACAGUUGGGCUUGGUCAUGACUGGUUGUGUAGGGAUCAGGUAUAAAAUGAAAAGGAGAAGUCCUGGUAGGUUUUAAAAUAUAUUAGUACACUGUAAAGGUCAAUUGGAUUCCACUUAGAUUAAUCAAAAUAACUUUGAGGAAGGUACUUGGAUCUUGAAUUUGAAGUAUGUGUGUCUAUAGAGUCCAGUCCCUGUGCUUCUUUCGUGACCUUGGUAGUCAAGUGUGUGCAAAACUUGUUUUCAUUUUGAGGGAUGGUAUUUCAUCUUGCUUGUAAUGAAGUAAAAAUGGAACUGUGUAUAUACACUUAGCUUAACUAACCUCAGAAUAUAGUGUACAUACUUGUCUCAGCCUCCUAAAGUCAACAGAGGGUCAGGAUAACUUAAUGAUUGUAAUUUAAUAAGCAAACUAGUCAGGUCAUCCCUCUGCAUUAAUACUAUUUAAAUACUGUGAUUGGAAACGGAUUUAAUGAUUGAGUUUAUAUAUGGUUAUAAGAAUUUAUGAGUAAAGACCACAUGGCAUGGAAGAACCUCUUUAAGGUGCCUUGGGCGAGGAUCAAGGGCGAACCAAGUAUUACUUGGUUCAUAACACCUUUUCUCCAUAUAAAAGGCACCAUGGCACUUCUAUAAGCCUAUGGAGGUAUCUGUUUAUUACAUAAAUGCAUUAUGACUUUAUGAAUCCAAUCAUUAGAUCAAAGGGCAAGGUUUAAGGCCAAAUCUGUUUGCUUAAGUUGCUUUUCUUUGGCCAGUACCAAUGGUGAAUUUGUUAAUAUAUAGCUGAGUAGGUUGAUGCGAAAAAGAGAAGAGUUUAACUAAAAAUGGGAUCUGAGUCUUAAAUUCAUGAAAGCUGAACCAUCAAGAUCAUUAGAAGCACUUGAAAUCUGUCUUUAAAAGCAUAGUUUUUUUUCUUUCUUUUGCCAUAUCAUCUGAGUUAUAGCAUGUAUAAGUCUUGUGUAUUUGCUUGUGCAUUUCUCUCUUCCAUUUAAACCGGUCCAAGGCUUAAUGAUUACCCUUGUGUCAUAUAAGAAUACUUGAACUUGCUCAGUCUAUGCUAUACAUGUUUGUUUGAACUAUAGAUCCUGUACUUGGUGUUUGAUCUUUCUUGAUUGAUGAGACCAAUUCUUCUCCCUGUUUCUUCCCUGAUUGUGAAUAUAUCUUUUCUAUUGAUCUAAGAAUGUGAAUAGCUAAGUAAUUCAUUUGCUCAUCCCUAUAUCUGUCUUAAGAGUUGCCAAAGACCUGAACUUGAUAAUGAAUCUAUGUGAGGUAGCCUAUUUAGUAUCUAGCUUGGUUAGGCUGAGUGUAAGUUUUAGUUUUGGUUUAAAGGGGGGCACCUCUGAUUGGAAGAGGAUUAGGAAAAAAUAACAAUUAAGGACAGGGCUUAAAAAGUGCAAAGCUAAGUGUAAGAAAGGGUACAUAUUCUAUGAUAUACACAAAUAUUAAUGAGGAGAAUAGUGAUAAUAAGGGUGUAUCACACAGUAUAUCACAUGUAUGUGUGUGUGUAUGGAGGUUUAGAACACACACUAAGGCAAAGAAAUAGAAACUAUACUCAGCCUUAGGCAACAACUUCUGUUUUAAAGUAGUUGGGCCUGGCCCAUUUCAAAGGAAGGGUAGGACUUAGCCUAAAACAAAAAGGGGAGUUCGGGUGAUUCUCUUAAAUGUAAUCUUGGGCUAUCAGGCCCAAUGACUUGGCAAUAUAUGAUAUAUGUGUAUUGUUUCUUCCUACAUAUGUGAUUAUGUGUGUAUUUAUAUACAUGUGUGAUAAGUUCAGUAGAUUGAAACUAAUCGGGGUCCUUUGUUUUUUUCUCCUCCCUCCUCUACCACAUGGCUGGCUACUUGGGCCGGGUCCGAAGUCAACCUGUUGGGCCAAGGCCCAAUAGGAAAUUCCUUCAUAUUUAUCGAGUCCGAGAAGACAAAAAGGGAAGCUAAUAUCAAAAGAAAACGCGUAGAAGGCCCAGCCAUGGGUGAAAAUGGCUAACUAGUGGCUUGGUACGCCCCUAGCCUUCCCCUUCCUUUUAUUUGUGUUUUCCUUUUUGUUUAUAAUUUUGUUGUAAUUGUAUUUGUAAACUUGUAAAAAACUCAUAGAUCAUUGAAAUCUUUAUGUUUAUGAA
Long non-coding RNA from Lycium ferocissimum, 3775 nucleotides. RefSeq lists it as uncharacterized. Lineage: Eukaryota; Viridiplantae; Streptophyta; Magnoliopsida; Solanales; Solanaceae. The record is from RefSeq and is a predicted model, not a curated record. The transcript has 2 exons.